This 347-nucleotide unclassified non-coding RNA is filed under the name soil metagenome. RNAcentral's name for it is "partial contains 5.8S ribosomal RNA, internal transcribed spacer 2, and large subunit ribosomal RNA". The stretch from base 1 to 120 matches the Rfam family "5.8S ribosomal RNA", at positions 35 to 154 of the family's 154-position model. The record is from RNAcentral.
GAUGAAGAACGCAGCGAAAUGCGAUAAGUAGUGUGAAUUGCAGAAUUCCGUGAAUCAUCGAAUCUUUGAACGCACAUUGCGCCUCCUGGUAGUCCGGGAGGCAUGCCUGUUCGAGCGUCACCAAAUCCAACUCAAGCGGUUUUGCGCUUGGUCGUGGCGGAAGAGUCGGUCUGGUUGCCGUCUCCCCUCCGAAAAUCAACGGCGGAAAGUCACUGGCAGUCAGCGUAGUAGUAUCGUUCGCCGAACAUCCAGUGGCAUUCCUGCCGGCGUACCCCCACAAUUCUCGUGAUUGACCUCGGAUCAGGUAGGGAUACCCGCUGAACUUAAGCAUAUCAAUAAGCGGAGGA